AGGAACCAUCAGUAGCAGUCAUGGAAGCUACUACUUCCUGGGAUCAUCCAGCAAAAUCUUCAGUCCUUUCCCAUAUACCUCUCACUGGUUAAACGCUGUUCACUGGCAAGUGAAAUACUAGGAUGCCACUGAAGAGCAUGAUCAGAGAAUACUCUACAACAUUUACCUUUCUGAGCUGGUGUGAUCGACCAAUCAGUGUGGACAAGGAGGACACAGGACCAUCAUCGGAAGUAUCAGAAUUCUGAAGACAGUCUGUGGUGGAGACAUCUCAAGAACAGCUGGCAAUGAAAAAAGGGUGGGGGUCCAGAACCACAACUGUUGUGAACUGAUGAAGGAUUCAAGAAACGGAGUACCUCAAAUUUAAACACACCUG
This 373-nucleotide long non-coding RNA is filed under the name Apteryx owenii (little spotted kiwi). RNAcentral's name for it is "lncRNA (ENSAOWG00000001723.1)". Lineage: Eukaryota; Metazoa; Chordata; Aves; Apterygiformes; Apterygidae. The record is from RNAcentral.